RNAcentral lists this unclassified non-coding RNA (1763 nucleotides) under Hevea brasiliensis (rubber tree). The record is from RNAcentral. Lineage: Eukaryota; Viridiplantae; Streptophyta; Magnoliopsida; Malpighiales; Euphorbiaceae.
AAGCAAAUGUUGAGAUGGAUCUGUGCAGGAUCUAAUAUUCAGUAACAGUAUUGAUUGAAGAUGGAAACAGCUAAUCUAUGAACAAAAAUAAUGUAUGGAAGCAACAGAUUCAGAAGACCAAGGCCUAUAGUGCAUCAAAUUAGACAUAUCUAAAUAAAAUAACGAACACAAUGGGCUUUUGUUAAUUUUUAUCAUUGAUUAUACAACAACGUUACAUCCGUGCCCUACAUGUAUAACCAGAAAACCAAAUCUUAUUGCAUGAGAGGCAUAGAUUUACACAAAAACCUCUGGCCAGCACAUCUAAUGCCAAACAUACAAUACAUAUCUUCAAAAAAUCAGGCAGCAUAUGCAGCUCCACAACUAAGUCAGGUUAAAGUGUUCCUUAUCAUUAAGUAUUAAUUUCCAAUGAUACAAUUAACUUGCAAAUUCGCAGCUGUUACUUGAACUGUAGCCCAUACGACUACUCACUGCUUCCUUGCCCAUCCAGGUUCCCAUUUCCUUAUUGCCAUCAUUUCUAACUUUUGUCCGGUUGAUUGCUCACUGCUCUCUUGUUCAUCCAGGUCCCAUUUCGUUAUUGUCAUCAUUUCCGUGUUCUUUACCAUUACUUCCCUUUUUGACUUGAGCUGCUCUGCUCUCUCUUUCCAUCCCUCUUCCAACAACUGAACAAACCUAUCCUUGAUUUUAUGCAAUGGAUCCCUAUCAAUCAAUUCACUAUCCUUAUAAGCUUCCCUUAGCAUUGCAGUCUUAAUCCCCCCUUUCAAUGACAUGUAAAAUAUUCCGGAAUGCCUGGUGAACACACUUGAAAAUUGAUUGGAAAACCUAUACUCUUCGCUAAACUUCCCCAGUAUCGGCACUGGAAUCCUCUUAAAGAGUGAGAGUGAUAACAACUCAUGGAAAACCCCAACAGUCCUCUUUUCCAUUUCUGGUGAGGCUUGAUCCAAGUGUGACACGUCCGCAUAUGGUGAAAUGUAAUCAAGUUCUAACCAAUCCCUAACCCACUCCCUCAUUUCCUUCCUGAGAAAAAACCCUGGUGGAAGUUUAUAAUUGAAAUUAGGCCUAACUCUAAUCCCUGUUAACCGAGACUCCUCUUCAGCUCUUUGCUCAAGAACUGAUUUAGCAAGCUCAGGGUUCCACUCAACCAACUCCAGAAACGACUUCCCCUCACCUGGACAUCCUAUAAGCCUAAAAUAAUGUGGAUACUUGGGCACCAAAUUAACCAAAAAAUCAUUAGGGAAACCAAAUUCUCUCUUCACAUGAACCAAUUUAUCCGCACUAAGUACCUUAUCCUUGGCCAUCAUCAGCAAUUUACACAAUUUGGUAACAAUAAACCCCUCAUUUUCCAAUUGAAUCCCCUUCUCUUCUUCAAGAAAAUUCCUUAACCGAUCACUAACGCGCAAAAACAGGACAGGUUCAGAUUUGGGUUUGAUUUUAUCAUAAUAAGUAUCGAAGAGGCCUGGAUUUUGAUUGAUAAAAGUUUUAACUCUGAAAUUGAGGCGUAACCUCUCGCGCCUUUUCUCGAGGUAUCGGAGCGGUAAAACUUGACCGGGUUCGUUUAGAACCUCCUUGACGACUCGUGCGCAGACUUUGUACCGCUUAUCUUUCUCUAUAGCAAAAUCUAGUUUUUGGUCCCUGCGCCACACCACUUUGAGGCUCGAAAUGGAUUUGAUUUGGAUGUUGAUUUUAGGGUUUACAAGAGAAUUAUGAAAAUGUGUAUGGAUGGAGUGGGUUUUGAAAAGCAUACCUGGAUUUAACAAGCAAUCGAG